UAUAUAGAUAGUCUACGUCGCCAAGCGCAAGGCUCCUUUCACAAACCCCUUUAGGCUACACUCAAUCAAGGGAUUCUGGUUUCCGUUGUAAGCAUUAAAUCUACUGAGUGACCGCUUCGGACAGAGUCAGGGAGCACAGUGGUGAACGCCAUGUUGAGGAGAAUCUGGAGCCUUUUACAGCCACAUUAACUGCUAGAAACAAGGUCCUUAUCGAUGUUAACGCUUUUCUUUUCUUUUUUGAGCCAAGAUAUGUUUUCUAUUUAGAUCAAAGAGUUGAACGCAGGCUCUCAAACAUAAAUGCAUGUGUUUUCUCCACAGAUUCUCCUGUGUGAUGACACCCUUCAUCUCAUUAGAAAAUGGCGGUUUGUGCCCUUUCAAAACACAUGUCAAGGAAGAUUUCUUUUUAACAGUAAAUAACGAGUUAAUGCAAGCUAGGGGGGUAUUUAAAUGGUGUAUAUAUUCAAGGUAAUAUCUCUGUUAUUUUUAAAAGAAUAAAAGCAGGAAAGAAACUGUAGUUUUUACUCGUUUCCUCGUCACGUAUGCUUGAUUUUUCAAACAAAAGCCAAAUCCUGCAAAUUAGCAUGAGGAAGUUUACUCAUUGUGGAUCAACAGUUACACAAAAGAUUAUUUAAAUGUGAGUAUAUUUUAAAGGGGAUCAUUUGAGUCUCAAUUUGUGAAAAACAAUUUUAAAAAGCUAUUAAUAGCAGCCAGACACAGCUACCGUUACACUGAUUUUGUUUCAAAACUGGCAAGAACUAUCUUUAUAUUUUUGGUGAAAUACUUGUUUAACUGCAAAUCAUUUUAUUAAAUUCUGUGUUUCACACGCUGUAUAAUGUGAAGAAGACAUAGCUUGGGAUUUUCAUUUUUUUUAGUUUUUCAGUAUUUCAGCAAAAAAUGUAGUUUUUUGUAAUAAUCCUCUGUAGAUUUUUGCUUUUUUUGUGAUUUUGAAAUUACUGCAUUUUUUAUUGUUGUUGGGCAUUUGAUCAGUUGAACACACAUGUUCAGGCAGCACGAAAGUCUGAUGAAAGGGGGUGUUUUCACGCACAGUCACAUGCAUAUUUGCAGACUUGCUCACACAUUACAUUUAUAGCCUGCUGUAUGCAUGCAUGUCUUUGUCUCUCUCAUGUGAUUUACUUCCCUUCUGGCUGCUGUUAUUUUGCUGGUUUCAGCACCUUGAUUGAUUAGUUUCACUGUGAUUUGUGUUGAGAAAACUGGCUCUUGAAACAACUCAAAAGCAAUCAAUUUCUUCAAUAUCUUGCUUUCUAAAAGAAGAGAGAAACAUAAUUUGUUUUCACACUUGUAAUUUUAAAUUGGAUAAUGUUUAUUGCAAAAUAAAGUGCCUUAUUUGUUGAACCUGGA
Centropristis striata (black sea bass) is the source of this 1359-nucleotide long non-coding RNA. RefSeq lists it as uncharacterized. The transcript has 2 exons. NCBI's taxonomy places the organism in Eukaryota, Metazoa, Chordata, Actinopteri, Perciformes, Serranidae. The record is from RefSeq and is a predicted model, not a curated record.